Molecule: ribosomal RNA, 324 nt
Filed under: uncultured eukaryote
Lineage: Eukaryota
Description: partial 18S ribosomal RNA
Rfam family: Eukaryotic small subunit ribosomal RNA
Source: RNAcentral
CCCUUAGAUGUUCUGGGCUGCACGCGCGCUACACUGAUGCAUUCAACGAGUUUCUUCCUGGUCCGAGAGGAAUGGGUAACCUUUUGAAAGUGCAUCGUGAUAGGGAUAGACUAUUGCAAUUAUUGGUCUUCAACGAGGAAUUCCUAGUAGACGUAGUUCAUCAGACUGCAUCGAUUACGUCCCUACCCUUUGUACACACCGCCCGUCGCUCCUACCGAUUGAAUGCUCAGGUGAGCCAUUCGGACUUUCAUCAUGCUGGUUUCCAGUUUUGAUGAAGGAAAGUCUUGCGAACCUUAUCAUUUAGAGGAAGGAGAAGUCGUAACA